UACGAAGGGGGCUAGCGUUGUUCGGAAUUACUGGGCGUAAAGCGCGCGCAGGCGGCUAUCCAAGUCAGUGGUGAAAGCCCGGAGCUCAACUCCGGAACUGCCAUUGAAACUGUUUAGCUUGAGGAUGAGAGAGGUGAGUGGAAUUCCCAGUGUAGAGGUGAAAUUCGUAGAUAUUGGGAAGAACACCGGUGGCGAAGGCGACUCACUGGCCCGAUACUGACGCUGAGGCGCGACAGCGUGGGGAGCAAACAGG
Molecule: ribosomal RNA, 253 nt
Filed under: uncultured bacterium
Lineage: Bacteria
Description: partial 16S ribosomal RNA
Rfam family: Bacterial small subunit ribosomal RNA
Source: RNAcentral